UAACUGUAACAUGCGAUGGCUCCCUGCUCUCCUGGAGAUAGCUGAACAUCUGCCUGCUCAUGGGGAACACCAAAUUAAUUCUUUCUUUUGCUUUGUUUGUGCAUGUGGCUUUUGCUUUCACUACUAAAAUGUCUUCAUCUCAACCCAUGAGUUUUCUGGCUUUUAUCCUUCCUGUUUGCUCCCUGAUCUUACAGAGAGCCAAUAAUAUCCUGGGAUGCAUCAAAAGAAGCAUGACCAGCAAGCUGAGGGAGGUGGUUUUGUCCCUAUACUCUCGUCUCUGAUUCAAGUUAUUAAAAUGAAAGGAAGACCUUCUCUGCAAUAAGAGAAGAUAUUGCAUUUUAAGGAAGACAGUCUGAAGGUGAAAACUGGAUACCUUAAAUUGAAAGACAAAAGUCCUACAUGAUUUAAAAGCAGGAGGAUUUAAUCAUGAAUGUCAGAAAAAUUUGUCCCACAGGUUACUGAAUAUAUUGCAUGCAGUUAUGAAGAAGAAAUAAUAGUUCAAGGUGCGCGUUAUUUUAGCGGGUAUGCACAAUGGAUUUUUAUC
Molecule: long non-coding RNA, 544 nt
Organism: Vidua chalybeata
Lineage: Eukaryota; Metazoa; Chordata; Aves; Passeriformes; Viduidae
Exons: 3
Source: RefSeq, a predicted model, not a curated record